RNAcentral lists this ribosomal RNA (254 nucleotides) under uncultured bacterium. RNAcentral's name for it is "partial 16S ribosomal RNA". It matches the Rfam family "Bacterial small subunit ribosomal RNA", at positions 524 to 776 of the family's 1533-position model. The record is from RNAcentral.
UACGGAGGGGGCUAGCGUUAAUCGGAAUUACUGGGCGUAAAGCGUGCGCAGGCGGUCUGUUAAGACCGAUGUGAAAUCCCCGGGCUUAACCUGGGAACUGCAUUGGUGACUGGCAGGCUUUGAGUGUGGCAGAGGGAGGUAGAAUUCCACGUGUAGCAGUGAAAUGCGUAGAGAUGUGGAGGAAUACCGAUGGCGAAGGCAGCCUCCUGGGCCAACACUGACGCUCAUGCACGAAAGCGUGGGGAGCAAACAGG